AAGUUAUAAAACGUUCAUCCAUAGACAGCAGGGACUGCAGUUUAAAUAUCCUGCCGAGGCUGAAGAGACACGAGCAUUAUAUACAUGAUGAUAUAGGCUCUCUUCACCUGCGUGGAGAGAGCUUUUUAUAUGACUAA
This is a regulatory RNA element of Eubacterium limosum KIST612, 137 nucleotides long. It matches the Rfam family "Ribosomal protein L10 leader". From Rfam's summary of the family: This family is a putative r-protein leader autoregulatory structure found in B. subtilis and other low-GC Gram-positive bacteria. It is located in the 5' untranslated regions of mRNAs encoding ribosomal proteins L10 and L12 (rplJ-rplL). The record is from Rfam. NCBI's taxonomy places the organism in Bacteria, Bacillati, Bacillota, Clostridia, Eubacteriales, Eubacteriaceae.